Non-coding RNA from Myotis brandtii (Brandt's bat), 75 nucleotides. Lineage: Eukaryota; Metazoa; Chordata; Mammalia; Chiroptera; Vespertilionidae. The record is from Rfam.
GGCAGUUCUUGGGUGAUGCAUCCCAGAAUAGGGCUCCCUCCUCUCUGGUUCUGUUUGCAUCAACUGAGAACUGCA